GGCCAGAGUAGCAUAAUGGUUUGAGUAUUGGACUACCAUUCUGGAGACCAGUGUUCAAUUCCCAGCUUGGCCA
Phrynosoma platyrhinos (Desert horned lizard) is the source of this 73-nucleotide non-coding RNA. The record is from the annotation of a GenBank genome assembly. Lineage: Eukaryota; Metazoa; Chordata; Lepidosauria; Squamata; Phrynosomatidae.